AGAAGGAAAAAAAUCUCUUCUAGGAGGAAGCAGGUUUGAAAGAGAAGAAAUAUGUCCCGAGCCUACUGAGCUCAGUGACUACAGUGAUAUGCCCCCUUUACAUGUUUAUACACUUAAAGGAGGUGCUCCGAGUCUUCCUCCUGGUGUCCCUGUGCUCUGUAUGGACACUGUCUCCCGGAGCCCUCUGCGUGUAAUCCCUGCUGCGCAGAGCUUCAGACAGAAGCAUGCUGUCCCAGCGCUGGCUGUCAUGAGUGGGCAGAGAAGUACCCGAGGGAAGCAUGGGGCAGGAAAUUCAUGCUUGAAAUCUCUGUAGGGUAAAAAAGCACACUUGGCCUGGUUAGAAAGUUGAGUUCCCAGUGCAGGCUGAAGAAUGCAAUGUCUUCACAACACAGCAGCUCAUAUUUACAGCUGGGAGAAAGUGUUCUAUAUGGUCUGGCCACACUGUUCAAGGAGCACUGGAUCCCCUCAGAGAAGCAUGACCCUUCCCACGACUUCACAAAAAUGGUGGAUCUCUGUAACAAAACUGCACAUUUACCUUUCAUACACCAUCUAGGAAAAUACAGGGAAAGCCAUAUGGCUCAAGGAGACAUCUCCUAUAAUUAGAUAUCACUUAACACAGUACCUAAUUGUACGGAUGCAGAGCCUACAUCUGUUGGAACUGGGCGUAGCAUGAAAUGUCAAAUGCAGAUUUAGAUGUGAGUAGGACUGCAAAGGGGAAAUUAAGCAUCUUUGACAUUCUUUUAAUUGAGAGAGAAAGAACUUUCUGAUGAGUUUGUGAAGAUUCUGAUGGGGAAGAGCAAAAGGCUUGAAGAAAUCUGAAUCUUUUCCCAGAAGGAAAGUGGAAUAAAAAGUACUUGGAGUACUUGUUACCUAUCUCC
Molecule: long non-coding RNA, 878 nt
Filed under: Chrysolophus pictus (golden pheasant)
Lineage: Eukaryota; Metazoa; Chordata; Aves; Galliformes; Phasianidae
Description: lncRNA (ENSCPIG00010000567.1)
Source: RNAcentral